GAGAAAUCUGGAGAGAGAGAGAGAGAGAGAGAGAGAGAGAGAGAGAGAGAGAGAGAGAUUUUGCAUCUUCUUCGUGGUGCGUCUAGCUUCUCCUGAGCUGUCUCCAAGAGUUUGCAGGAAGAACAUUUUUGGAAAGUGGUAGUGGAAUAAAUAUGUUGGAGUCGCACUAGUUGGAGAAACACUUGCAGUGAUGGGAUUUGGAAAGGUAGGAUCAGACGUUGCACGGCGUGUGAAUGGGCUUGGUAUGCAUGUGAUCGCACAUGACCCAUAUGCCCCUGCAGACCAUGCCCGUGCAAUAGGUGUGGACCUUGAGAGCUUUGAUGAAGCCUAGUAACUGCAGAUUUCAUUUCUUUGCACAUGCCUCUUACUCCUGCUACAUCAAAGAUUCUUAAUGAUGGAACUUUUGCAAAGAUGCAGAAAUGAGUUCGGAUGAAGAUGAAGAAAGAACUCCAUUUUGCAAUGAUGGAACUGCAGAUUCUUAAUGAUGGAACUUUUGCAAAGAUGAAGAUCGAAGAACUUUUGCAUCCACACACACUAUUAAGUUCUAUGCCCAAAGUUGGUGCUAACUUGUAAAAUAUGUUGUAUUGGAAUGGACUGUGUUGAGUGUAAUACGAUUUGUGUGAUGAACUGAAGUUGUUAGUGAAAUGGAAACUUUGAAAUGAAAAUUGUACUGAUAAGCGACAGCGUUUUUUUUUUU
Long non-coding RNA from Carya illinoinensis, 697 nucleotides. RefSeq lists it as uncharacterized. The transcript has 2 exons. The record is from RefSeq and is a predicted model, not a curated record. NCBI's taxonomy places the organism in Eukaryota, Viridiplantae, Streptophyta, Magnoliopsida, Fagales, Juglandaceae.